GUGGGGAAUUUUGGACAAUGGGCGAAAGCCUGAUCCAGCCAUGCCGCGUGCAGGAUGAAGGCCUUCGGGUUGUAAACUGCUUUUGUAUGGAACGAAAAGACUCUGGUUAAUACCUGGGGUCCAUGACGGUACCGUAAGAAUAAGCACCGGCUAACUACGUGCCAGCAGCCGCGGUAAUACGUAGGGUGCAAGCGUUAAUCGGAAUUACUGGGCGUAAAGCGUGCGCAGGCGGUUAUAUAAGACAGAUGUGAAAUCCCCGGGCUCAACCUGGGAACUGCAUUUGUGACUGUAUAGCUAGAGUACGGCAGAGGGGGAUGGAAUUCCGCGUGUAGCAGUGAAAUGCGUAGAUAUGCGGAGGAACACCGAUGGCGAAGGCAAUCCCCUGGGCCUGUACUGACGCUCAUGCACGAAAGCGUGGGGAGCAAACAGGAUUAGAUACCCGAGUAGUCC
Molecule: ribosomal RNA, 450 nt
Filed under: uncultured bacterium
Lineage: Bacteria
Description: partial 16S ribosomal RNA
Rfam family: Bacterial small subunit ribosomal RNA
Source: RNAcentral